UGCGGAUAACUUGGGUAAUUUGCGUGGAUAACUAGUAGAUAACUAGUAUCUAGAGUUUCUUUUGUUCUUUUUCGCUUCCUACUAGUAUAUCCAUAGGGAAACUUACAUAAAUUUCAACCCUUUAGUACCUAACUACUCCAUAUUCCCACUCUUUUCUAAAUUACAUAAAAUCUCUGAUUUUGUAAUGACCCUCCCGGUU
Molecule: long non-coding RNA, 199 nt
Filed under: Capsicum annuum
Lineage: Eukaryota; Viridiplantae; Streptophyta; Magnoliopsida; Solanales; Solanaceae
Description: long non-coding RNA (CANN_LNC009735)
Source: RNAcentral